GUCUAUGGCCAUGCCACUCUGAACAAGUCUGAUCCCGUCUGAUCUCGGAAGCUAAGCAAGGCCGGGCCUGGUUAGUACUUGGAUGGGAGACCACCUAGGAAGACCAGGCGCUGUAGGUG
This 119-nucleotide ribosomal RNA is filed under the name Pteropus alecto (black flying fox). The record is from RNAcentral. Lineage: Eukaryota; Metazoa; Chordata; Mammalia; Chiroptera; Pteropodidae.